RNAcentral lists this ribosomal RNA (675 nucleotides) under Escherichia coli. RNAcentral describes it as "partial 23S ribosomal RNA". It matches the Rfam family "Bacterial large subunit ribosomal RNA", at positions 584 to 1258 of the family's 2925-position model. Lineage: Bacteria; Pseudomonadati; Pseudomonadota; Gammaproteobacteria; Enterobacterales; Enterobacteriaceae. The record is from RNAcentral.
CUUAGGCGUGUGACUGCGUACCUUUUGUAUAAUGGGUCAGCGACUUAUAUUCUGUAGCAAGGUUAACCGAAUAGGGGAGCCGAAGGGAAACCGAGUCUUAACUGGGCGUUAAGUUGCAGGGUAUAGACCCGAAACCCGGUGAUCUAGCCAUGGGCAGGUUGAAGGUUGGGUAACACUAACUGGAGGACCGAACCGACUAAUGUUGAAAAAUUAGCGGAUGACUUGUGGCUGGGGGUGAAAGGCCAAUCAAACCGGGAGAUAGCUGGUUCUCCCCGAAAGCUAUUUAGGUAGCGCCUCGUGAAUUCAUCUCCGGGGGUAGAGCACUGUUUCGGCAAGGGGGUCAUCCCGACUUACCAACCCGAUGCAAACUGCGAAUACCGGAGAAUGUUAUCACGGGAGACACACGGCGGGUGCUAACGUCCGUCGUGAAGAGGGAAACAACCCAGACCGCCAGCUAAGGUCCCAAAGUCAUGGUUAAGUGGGAAACGAUGUGGGAAGGCCCAGACAGCCAGGAUGUUGGCUUAGAAGCAGCCAUCAUUUAAAGAAAGCGUAAUAGCUCACUGGUCGAGUCGGCCUGCGCGGAAGAUGUAACGGGGCUAAACCAUGCACCGAAGCUGCGGCAGCGACGCUUAUGCGUUGUUGGGUAGGGGAGCGUUCUGUAAGCCUGCGAAGGUG